AUUGAACGCUGGCGGCAUGCCUUACACAUGCAAGUCGAACGGUAACGGGCCUUCGGGUGCCGACGAGUGGCGAACGGGUGAGUAAUGUAUCGGAACGUACCUUUCAGUGGGGGAUAACGUAGCGAAAGUUACGCUAAUACCGCAUAUUCUGUGCGCAGGAAAGCAGGGGAUCGCAAGACCUUGCGCUGAUUGAGCGGCCGAUAUCAGAUUAGCUAGUUGGUGAGGUAAAGGCUCACCAAGGCGACGAUCUGUAGCGGGUCUGAGAGGAUGAUCCGCCACACUGGAACUGAGACACGGUCCAGACUCCUACGGGAGGCAGCAGUGGGGAAUUUUGGACAAUGGGGGCAACCCUGAUCCAGCCAUGCCGCGUGAGUGAAGAAGGCCUCGGUUGUAAG
RNAcentral lists this ribosomal RNA (395 nucleotides) under uncultured bacterium. RNAcentral's name for it is "bacterial SSU rRNA". It matches the Rfam family "Bacterial small subunit ribosomal RNA", at positions 30 to 429 of the family's 1533-position model. The record is from RNAcentral.